AUCCAUUCUCCUCAUCCAUAUAAGUCUCCACCACCACCUUCUCCAUCUCCACCUCCACCUUAUUACACUACAUCACCACCACUACCAAUCAUUUCUCCUCCACCGCCAUAUUAUCACAAAUCUCCACCACCGCCUUCUCCAUCUGCACCGCCUCCAUCUCCAUCUUCAUUGCCGUCACCUUCGAUUACACCUAUCGCUGAACCAUUUCCAUCUCCGAUGGUGCCACCACCAUUGACUACACCUAUUUCUGAACCAUCUCCAUCUCCAUCUCCAUCUCCAUCUCCAUCUCCAUCUCCAUCUCCAUCUCCAUCCCUGCUAGCACCGUCGAUUACACCUAUCGCUGAACCAUUCCCAUCUCCAUUUCCGCUAGCACCAUCGACAACCCCUAUUGUUGAACCCUUUCCAUCUCCAUUGCCGCCAAUUGCUGAACCAUUUCCGUCACUAUCGCCUUCACCAUCACCAAUUACACCUAUCGCUGAACCAUUCCCAUCUCCAUUUUCUCUAGCACCAUCGACAACCCCUAUUGUUGAACCCUUUCCAUCUCCAUUGCCACCAAUUGCUGAACCAUUUCCAUCACUAUCGCCUCUACCAUCACCAAUUACACCUAUCGCUGAACCAUUCCCAUCUCCAUUUCCGCUAGCACCAUCGACAACCCCUAUUGUUGAACCCUUUCCAUCUCCAUUGCCACCAAUUGCUGGACCAUUUCCAUCGCUAUCGC
This 718-nucleotide long non-coding RNA is filed under the name Capsicum annuum. RNAcentral describes it as "long non-coding RNA (CANN_LNC021407)". The record is from RNAcentral. Lineage: Eukaryota; Viridiplantae; Streptophyta; Magnoliopsida; Solanales; Solanaceae.